Lepisosteus oculatus (spotted gar) is the source of this 119-nucleotide ribosomal RNA. Lineage: Eukaryota; Metazoa; Chordata; Actinopteri; Semionotiformes; Lepisosteidae. The record is from Rfam.
GCCAGCAGCCAUAUCACCCUGCAACUCACAACUGGCAGCCCUCUGAAGCUAAGAAGGUGUGAGCCUAGGCAGUACCUGGAUGGGAGACCUCCUGGGAAAAACUAAGGUUGCUGCUGGAA